GAUGAACGCUGGCGGCGUGCUUAACACAUGCAAGUCGAGCGAGUCAGGUUUUCAACACUGAGUAUUCGGUAAUUAUAAAUGUAAGUAAAGCCAGCGUCAAGCACAUGCUUCAAGUGCUUCACGCGUUAUAAAAGCUUGCUAACACAUAAGACUGAGUAUUGAGUGUUGGAAACUUGACUAGCGGCGGACGGGUGAGUAACGCGUGGGCAACCUGCCCUGUACAGAGGGAUAACAACGGGAAACCGUUGCUAAUACCUCAUAAUACCUUUCGGGGGCAUCCCCUUUAGGUCAAAGAAUUUCGGUACAGGAUGGGCCCGCGUCUGAUUAGCUAGUUGGUGAGGUAAUGGCUCACCAAGGCGACGAUCAGUAGCCGACCUGAGAGGGUGAUCGGCCACAUUGGAACUGAGACACGGUCCAAACUCCUACGGGAGGCAGCAGUGGGGAAUAUUGCACAAUGGGCGAAAGCCUGAUGCAGCAACGCCG
RNAcentral lists this ribosomal RNA (483 nucleotides) under uncultured bacterium. RNAcentral's name for it is "bacterial SSU rRNA". It matches the Rfam family "Bacterial small subunit ribosomal RNA", at positions 28 to 399 of the family's 1533-position model. The record is from RNAcentral.